Topomyia yanbarensis is the source of this 504-nucleotide long non-coding RNA. RefSeq lists it as uncharacterized. The transcript has 3 exons. The record is from RefSeq and is a predicted model, not a curated record. Lineage: Eukaryota; Metazoa; Arthropoda; Insecta; Diptera; Culicidae.
CCAUGACCAUCAUCCGACAGAUCGGUAGCAACGUUCAACUGACGGUACAACCUGGCCAGCAACCGCAAGUAGUGCAAUCGAUCCAAGCCAAUCAGGGCCAAAUGUAGAAGACCAUUGGUCAACUGCAAAAAAAAAGAUACAUCAACAGCACCUUCAAACACAGUAGCAGCAGCAUACUGUACUGUACCACGCCGCGUGCAGGACUUUUUUUUAUUCAGUUGGUGCAGCAAGAUCGAACAGCAACCAUAGCGGAUACACAUCACCGAACACCAGCAACAUAAUGCCAUGGUAACCACCCAGCAGCAGAACACGGCGAUAAUGGGCCAACAGUAAAUACAACAUCAAGAUCCUCGGAAAGGACUUUCUCUUUCGAACAAACAUAAUGGAAGCAUACUCUACACGCGCGACAUAUUCAAUCGGGCCAACCGCGUGACUCGUUUGGCAAAAAGGGCUCAUCAUCGGUUUCAUGGCAGCGAAGUGAGCAGACAAAAGAAGGCGUUUUUU